CCGGAAUUUSWCASAYGGWUSCUGCUUCGGGACUSWGASACAGGUGCUGCAUGGUGUCGUCAGCUCGUGUYGUGAGAUGUUGGGUUAAGUCCCGYAACGAGCGCAACCCUUGUCCUUAUUUACCAGCACGUAAUGGUGGGCACUCUAAGGAGACUGCCGGUGACAAACCGGGGRAAGGUGGGGAUGACGUCAAGUCWUCWUGGCCCUUACGGCCAGGGCUACACACGUGCUACAAUGGUUGGUACAACGGGCUGCCAAGUCGCGAGACGRAGCUAAUCCCAUAAAACCAAUCGUAGUCCGGAUCGCAGUCUGCAACUCGACUGCGUGAAGUCGGAAUCGCUAGUAAUCGUGGAUCARAAUGCCGCGGUGAAUACGUUCCCGGGUCUUGUACACMCCGA
This 398-nucleotide ribosomal RNA is filed under the name uncultured Pseudomonas sp. RNAcentral's name for it is "partial 16S ribosomal RNA". It matches the Rfam family "Bacterial small subunit ribosomal RNA", at positions 996 to 1393 of the family's 1533-position model. Lineage: Bacteria; Pseudomonadati; Pseudomonadota; Gammaproteobacteria; Pseudomonadales; Pseudomonadaceae. The record is from RNAcentral.